CAUUUUAAGCCCCAAAUUCACGUACAAUAAUUAUGAAGCUACUACCACACCUGUCACCUGCUGGAUGUAGGUGCCAACGUAGGUGAGGAACCUGUGCACAUAAGUCACUUUUUUAGGUGCCACUGGUUUCUCUAUUAAAGUUAGCUCUGUGUGUAGGUCUGGCAUAAGCAUGCACCAAUGGCUCCCAAUUUGCCUAAAUAAAAUUUUCAGCUCUUUUUCUUUAUUUCUCACACUCUAAUUGACUUAUAUGGCUAGUUCCACCUUAUUUUCAACCCUUACCUUCACAAAUACGAAUAAUAAUACGUUAAUAAACUUGAAUAAAUGGAUAAACAUGAUAACUCAACUUAAAAAGUGCCAACAAGUCAUUAAUUUGCCUACUUUUUAUAGCAACCCGUAUUUCCCUAGCAUAAUCUAAGUCCCAAUACAAGAGUAUUCAUAUAUAAAAUUUUUUAAACACUCAUUUUUUUCAGUUUAGAACUUUCCAUUAAAUAGGAAAUUCAAUUAGCUUUCAAACGAUAUAAAAUUUUCCCAAAUCUAAUAACCGGCUAAGAAGUUAUGGAGAUUUUAAGUUUCAGUCAUUAAACAUCAUCAUUUUAAACCUUAACGCAUUGCAGAGACGUUCCAAAUAACAAUUGUCAAUUUCCAGCAUGACUCUGUGAUGUUGACGAAUUACGGAGCAAGCCAAUUUCUAGUGGGCCUCCUCGAUGGUGGCGCAUCGCGACACAGAGGUGGCCAAAUUGGCACAUCAAAGGAGUAAUGUGAUAGCUCCGCAUUGUGGUAUUUGUCCAGGUCCCAAUUUUCCAUUUUCUAUUGGCUUGGCGAGACAGUUGCACAUCGCGCCAAUGCCAAAAAUUGGGAUCUUCAGUUUUCAUCUUCCAUUUUAUAAUUUGUUCAAGGGUAUUUGGGUCUUUUUCCACGACCCUAAUUAACCUAAAACACGAAAUUUAAACCCUAAAAACCCUAAGUAGUCAUCAUUAUUUCAAUUCCUCACACAAUCAAUGAUCCCCUUUUCAUGAACAAGAUACCCUAGCUCUCUAAUUUAAUGCCAAUCCUCAAGAACUCGCCUAGAACUUCAAGAAAUUUACCAUCCCAGGUAUGUUAGAUGUUCAUCCAUGGAUUCCUUUAAUCCGUGGAGCCCAAGUAACCUAUUUUAAUCACCAACUUAUAAUCUUUUCCAGUUAUUAUGUUUUAAAUUAUGAUUUCAUCCAUGAAUCGCCAUGUACUAUUGAUUUUAUACUAUGCUACCAUGAAAUUAUUGUUACUAUUCAAUCCUCCAUGUUUUAACAUUAUUACUUAUUCAAUUAAACCAUGAAUUAAUGCUAUUAUAAUGAAUUCAUGCUAUUACUACAAGUUCCAUGACAUUCGUAUGAUUAUUUUAAACCAUGAACUACAAGUGUUUGAUAAAAUGCCUACAAGAGUGAUUUAUUUAAUAAAAGCCUUCAUGUUUUAAUCUCCAAGUUUUAGUGUCAUUUUACUAUUAAUGUUUUGAGUCCUGGGGGUAUUGAAUACCUAAAAUCCAUAGCUGUUUACUUAGUGUAGUCUCAGUACAUUACAAAAUAGUCUUUAGAAUAUACUAUGAGCAUGAUCAGAAUAGUCUAAUAUCAAUCACUUAAACUUAAAAAAGUCUAGUAUUUCAGUGUCUUUUACUUGGGAAUAGAAUUUAGCACCAAGCGAGUGUACGGAUAGCGGUUUCCCCAUCAUAUAGGUAGAGUUAUUUGUAGUAGUCCCUAUACUCCAGAACUACGUAUCUAGCAUAGGAUAUGAGAAGUUACCCGUCAGAUUAGGCUUGACUAUCUCGCAGGGGUCACCCGUCGGUUUUCAAUUCAGUUGUUAACACCUUAUGGCAUAUCAGUAUUUUUCCAUAUUUAUGAUAAUAUUAUCUAGUGCUCACAGCAGGUACCAGCUCAUAGGUUAACUUGUGGUCUCUCAGGAAUGUAAGCAUCAUGUGAUGCCCAGGGUGUACUCUUGGGGAGUUACAAACUUGGUAUCAGUGCUAGGUUUUAAAGUAUCCUAGGAAUUCUGAAAGCCACAUCAAGUAGAGUCUUAUGAAAGGGCGUGUAGCAUGCCAUACUUAUGGAGGAGAGUCUACAAGGCGUUUAGGAAAAGUUUCCCUUUUUUCAAUAUUCAUGUUGUGCGAGUGAGCAUGAGCUUAAGUCAAACUCCCUAUCUAAUCUAUUUCUUCCUUCUAUUUAUAGAACAUGCCUCCCAAGAAGUACAGAAGAAGAAAAAAAAACAACCAGUUCCUCGUCCUAUCUAGGUAGAUCCUCUAGACGAGCAUGUCUCUCAAAUAGAAUUCAGAGCUACAUUAACUACUCUAGCUAAUUUUGUAGUAGCACAAAAUAAAUGGCCAGCUACUGUUCUGGCCAACCCAGAGAAUUUGAGAUUUCACUCGGAUGAAUCCUCCUUCUUUCAUGGGAUCCAUGUCUGAAGAGGAUCCACAGAAAUUCUUAGAUAUGGUUCAGAAGGUUAUGAAUUCUAUGGGGGUGACAUCUAGUCAGAGUGUUGAGUUAGCAACAUACCAGUUGCAGGAUGUAUCCCAUACUUGGUUUAAGCAGUGGAAAGAUGAUAUCCAAAGGGUGUAUUUACCACUUUGUGCUAGUUAAAGACUCUAACUCAGAAACUUUAAUCCUUGAGUCAGUCUCUAUAGUCAGGGAAUUUCCAGAUGUGUUCCCUGAAGAUAUCCCUGGAGUUUCUCCCGAAAGGGAAAUCAACUUUAGAAUAGACCUUCUCCCAGAUACUCAGCCUAUAGCUAUUCUACUUUACAGAAUGGCUCUAGCUGAACUCAAAGAAUUGAAUAAAAAGUUAAGGAUCUCUUAGAUAAGGGAUUUAUCAGACCCAGUGUCUCCCUAUGGGACGCACCUAUCUUAUUCGUGUGUAAGAAAGAUAGUUCUCUUAGAAUGCGUAGUGAGUACCGUCAGUUAAACAAGGGCACAAUCAAGAAUAAAUAUCCACUUCCUAAAAUCAAUUACUUAUUUGACCAACUUCAAGGUGCUAGCUACUUUUACAAGAUAGACCUCAGAUCAGGCUAUCAUCAGCUCAGGGUCAGAGAAUGUGACAUUCCAAAAAUAGCUUUCCAAACUCGGUAUGGUCACUUCGAAUUUAUAGUCAUGUCCUUUGUCUUACAAAUGCCCCAGCAGCCUUCAUGGACUUGAUGAACUAAGUUUUCAAGCAAUACUUAUACAUGUUCAUCAUAUUCUUUAUUGAUGAUAUUUUUGUUUACUCUCGUAGCAAAAAUGAUUAUGUAGACCAUCUCAAAAUAGUACUUUAGACUCUUAGAUCUCACCAGUUGUUCUCUAAAUUCAAUAAAUGUGAAUUCUGGCUAAGAUCGGUAGCUUUCCUUAUCCAUAUUAUUUUUGGUGCUGGCAUUAGAGUUGAUCCUAAAAUGACCAAGGUGGUGAGAAACUGUCCUAGACCCAUUUCUCCAUCAGAUAUCAGGAGUUUCUUAGCUUUAGCUGGCUAUUACCAUAGAUUUGUUGAAGGGUUUUCUUAUAUUGCAUCCUACAUGUAUAGAUUUACUCAGAAAAAGUUAAGUUUUAGUGGUCAGAUUCAUGUGAGAGGAGUUUUCAGGAGUUGAAGUCUUAACUCACUUUAGCCCUAGUCUUGACUCUACCAGAUGGUUCAGAUGGUUUUGUUGUGCACUGUGAUGGAUCCAGAGUAGGUUUGGGUUGUGUCCUCAUGUAGAGAGGUAAGGUCGUAGCCUAUGCCUCCAGACAACUUAAACCCCAUGAGAAGAAUCACCCUACUCAUGAUCUUGAGUUAGCAUCUAUAAUGUUUUCCUUAACGAUUAUAAGGCAUUACUUGUAUGGGGUGCAUGAGGAUGUAUUCACAGAUCAUAAAAGCCUUCAGUAUGUAUUCUCUCAGAAAGAUUUGAAUCUGAAUCAAAGAAGGUGGUUAGAAUUAUUAAAGGAUUAUGACAUAAGUGUUCUCUAUCAUCUGGGCAAGGCCAAUGUAGUGGAUAAUGCUCUCAGUAGAUUGUACAUGGGUAGUAUAGCUCAUGUUGAGGAUGGUAAGAAACAGUUAUCUAAGGAAGUCCAUCUGCUUUCCCAACUAAGUGUUCACUUAGUCGACUCAGCAGAGGGUAGUGUGUGGAUGUGGAGUAGCUCAGAAUUAUCUCUAGUUUAUGAGGUGAGAAAAACAAGGAUAGAGAUCCCAGUAUAGUUAAGUUGAAAAAAUUAGUCAAAGAUCAGAAAGUGGAGGUUUUCUCCCAAUAGGGAGAUGUGUGUUGCAUUGUCAGGGUAGAUUUUGUGUGCCUAGUGUAGAUGACUUGAGGUAUCAAAUUCUUACAGAAGCACAUAGUACACGUUACUCUAUUCAUCCAUAGGCCACUAAAAUAUACCAUAAUUUGAUGGAGAUCUAUUAGUAGAGUAGGAUGAAGAGAGAUAUUACAGAGUUUGCAAUAAAGUAUUGUACAUGCUAGCAAGUUAAGAUUGAGCACCAAGAACCUAGUGGGUCCAUGCAGGAGUUCAGUAUUCCCACUUGGAAGUGGGAGAAAGUCAACAUAGAUUUUGUGACAGGUUUUCCUCGUACCCAUCAUCAACAUAAUUCUAUUUGGGUUAUCAUAGAUAGGAUGACCAAAUCAUCUUAUUUCUUGCUAGUCCAUACCUCUUAUUCAGCCAAGGAACAUGCCAAACUAUAUCUCAGAGAGUUGGUUAGGUUACAUAGUGUUUCUUUAUAUAUCAUCUCAGAUAGAGGUACCUAGUUUACCUCUCAUUUCUAAAAAGUAUUCCAAAAGUGUCUUGGUACCCAAUUCCAUCUCAGUAUAGCCUUCCACCCUCAAAUAGAUGGUCAAUCAGAAAGGACCAUUCAGACUCUUGAGAAUAUGCUGAGACAAUGCACAGUUGAUUUUAAAGGUAGUGGGUAUGACCACUUGCCUUUGAUUGAAUUUUUCAUACAAUAACAGCUAUCAUUCCAGUGUAUAUAUGGCUUCGUUUAAGGAUCUCUAUGGUAGGAUAUGUAGAUCUCCAAUUGGGUGGUUUGAAGUAGGUGAGGCCACAGUAGUAGGGCCUGACUUAGUAUUUGAUGCCUUACAAAAGGUUCAAUUGAUCAGAGAAAGUCUUAGGGCUGCCCAGAGAUGAAAGAAAUCAUAUGCAAAUAUGAGAAGAAAGGAUCUCUAGUUUAAGGUCAGUGAUUUUGUGUACUUGAAAAUCUCUCUCAUGAAAGCAGUGAAAAGAUUUGGCAAGAAAGUGAAACUCAAUCCCCGAUAUGUUAGUCCCUUCAGAAUUCUCAGUCAUUUUGGAAAGGUAUCUUAUGAGCUAGAGUUACCUUCAUAUCUAACCUUAGUACACCCAGUGUUCCAUGUCUCAUUUUUGAAAAAGGUAUUGGUGAUCCAUCUGUAGUUAUUCCCUUAGAAAGUGUAGAUAUUUAGAAUAGUCUUUUCUUUGAGAAGGUUCCAGUCAAAAUUAUUUAUUAUCAAGUUUGUAGACUAAGGAACAAAGAAGUUCGACUAAUCAAAGUUCUUUGGCAGAAUCAAUCCAUUGAGUGAGCCACUUGGGAAGCAGAGGCAAAUAUGCGAACCAAGUACCCUCAUCUUUUCUCUGCGAAUCCAGAUUCAGUAUAGGGUACUAAUCUUCUUAAGAUUUCUCUAUAUCAUGAUCUGUUUUAGUUUAAAAUCAUGUUCAUGUCAGUCAUGCAUUUACAAAUCAAUUCAACCAUGUAACCCAUGCAUCAGAUAUGCAUGUUAGUAUGUAAGCUCAAUCUAUCAGUUUUUCUCAGCUUAACUAGUUUCAUUAGAGGAUUAAUGAUCCCAAGGGGGAGAUACUGUAACACCCCAUAUUUCCCUAGCAUAAUCUAAGUCCUAAUACCUGAGUAUUCAUAUAUAAAUUUUUUGAAACACUUAUUAUUUUCAGUUUAGAACAUUCCAUUGCGUAGGGAAUUCAAUUAGCUUUCCAAUGAUAUAAAGUUUGCCCAAAUCCAAUAACCAGGUAAGAACUUAUGGAGAUUUUAAUUAUAGUCAUUAACCCUUAACGCAUCGCGGGGAUAGUCCAAAUGACAAUUUUUAAUUUUCAGUGUGAUUGUGCGAUGAUGUCACAUCGUGGAACAGUCCAAUUUCUAGUUUGGAAAUUUCCAGUGGGCCUCCAUGAUGGUGGCGCAUCUCGGAGGUGGCCAAAUUGGCACUUCAAAGGAUUAACGUGAUAGCUUCGCAUCUCGGUGUUUUUCCAGGUCCCAAUUGUCCCUAUUCCAGGCUUGGCGCGAUAGUGGUACGUCGCGCCAAUGCCAAAAAUUGGGAUCUUCAGUUUUUAUCUUCCAUUUUUAAAUUUGUUUAGGGGUAUUUAGGUUUUUUUUUCAUGGCCCUAAUUAACCUAAAACACGAAAUUUAACCCCUAAAUACCCUAAGUAGAUAAUCAAAGAUUCUCUUUUCAAGAACAAGAAACCCUGGCUCUCCAAUUCAAGGCCAAUCCUCAAGAACUCACCUAGAACUUCAAGAAAUUCACUAUCCCAAGUAUGUUAGAUGUUCAUCCAUGGAUUCCUUUCAUCCAUAGAUCCCAAGUAACCCAUUUUAAUCUCCAAGUUAUAUUCUUUUCAAGUUAUUAUGUUUUAAAUUAUGAUUUUAUCCAUGAAUCUCCACGUACUAUUGAUUUUGUACCAUGCUACCCUGAAAUUAUUGUUAUUAUUCAAUCCUUCAGGUUUUAACAUUAUUACUUAUUUAAUUAAACCAUGAAUUAAUGUUAUUAUGAUGAAUUUAUGCUUUUACUAGAAGUUCCAUGACAUUUCUAUGAUUGUUUUAAACAAUGAACUACAAGUGUUUGAUAAAAUGCCUAUAAGAGUGAAUACCCGAAAUCCAUAGUUGUUUACUUAGUCUCAUCUCAGUACAUUACAGAAUAGUCUUCAGAACAUACUAAGAGCAUUAUCAGUAUAGUCAAAUAUCAGUCAUUUAAACUCAAAACAGUCUAGUAUUUUCAGUGUCUUUCAGUUGGGAGUACGAUUUAGCACCGAGCGAGUGUAAGGACGGCGGCUUCCCCAUCAAAUAGGCAGAGUCAUUAGAAGAAUUCCCUAUACUCUAGAACUACAUAGCUAGCAUAGGAUAUGAAAAGUCACCCAUUAGAUUAGGCUGGACUAUCUCGCAGGGGUUACCAAUCAAUUCAGGCUUGACACCCUUAGUCCUUUAGACAUUAUAUUUGUUUAGUUGAUCCACACAACUAUCGUUAGUACCCGUGGUACGGUAUUAACACUCUUUUAAUUGGGGUUACAGGUUGGACCCCGAUUAGCUUAAAUUAGGGAAUUUCGGUUAGGUGAUACCUCCCACAGUCUUAGAUACAGUCUCAGUUACAGUCUCAGUUCAGUUAUUCAGUUUUAGUGUUGUUUGACCAAAGCAUGCAAAUUUUAGUUAUUUUAUUAUUUUAGUCUAUAGAUUUUACUCAUUCCAUUUUAUAUGCUUGUUCAUGCAUCCCUAUUGUCUAUAGAUUUUCACGUAUCUUCAAUAUUUACAGGUUAUCAUGCAUACUUGGUAUUUACAAAUUUUCCAUAUUUUUAGUACCUAUAUAUUUCAUGCUCUCUAUUCAGUAAUCAAUGCUUUACAUGCAUAUCCAGUUAAUUAUUAGUUAUGUUCAUGAAACCAUGCAUAUCAUUCUACCUCAUUUAGCAUACCAGUAGACUCAAAGUACUGAUCGUACACCUUUUCUUUUGUGCUAUGAUACAUUAUAUCAUAGGAUCUAACACUCAGUUCUCGGCUCCCGAUUAGACUUAUCAGAUCCUGAGCAGUAGUAGUGGUAAGUCCUCAUACUUCAAGGACAGUCUUAAUUUUUUCAUGUCUCAGUUAGUAGUUAGUUGGAGUUAGUUGAGGCCUAUCCCAUCAACUCAUAUUCAGUCAGUUAGUUUUAGAGUCUUUUCAGAUAUUAGAUUCAGUUAUUAGUAUUCAGACAUUAUAGUUGGUUAUCCAUUUUAUCAUUAUUUUAUUAGAUUCAGUCAGUUAUUUCUAUAGACUCAUAUUUUGAUUUUGAAUUUAGUUAUUAAAACCUUAUGUCAUAUUAGUAUUCUUCUGCAAUUAUGAUCAUGUUAUCCAGUUCUCACAGUAGGUACCAUCUUAUGGGUUAGCUUGUGGUCCCUCAAAAUUGUAAGCAUCAUGUGACGCCCAGGGUGUACUCUUGGGGUGUUACACUUUUCAAUUUCCAAACUUAAACUGCUUCUUAUCCUCAAGCAACUAAAAAUAUUCACAAUGAAAUAGAGGCAUUCAUAACCCCAAAACCUUCCAAAAGACUAUGCUAGAUAUCUAAUCUAACAAAGUUCAAAAGGGUUACUCCAGCACGUCAUAACAACAAGUAAAUCAAAUUUUUUCAAGAUGAAAAUUCUAUGUCGCAAGGAUGCAAGAAAGUAUAAAAUAAAAAUUUCAUAUCAAAUAUGACUCUAAAGGUGUGACACAAAAUCCUUUAAGAUUGUCUUAAUUUCACUAUGCAACUUAUCUUAAUCAUUUACCCUAAUUGGGAGCAAGACCUCAUCAUCCACUCCAAGGUAUUGAUUCCACUUACAUGCAAGAGCUUUCUUCACUCACACAAUACAAUGCAAUUCCAAAGGAUUGCAAAUAUCAAAAGAAUCUUCACUCACUCUCACUAAGAAAUUCAAGUACAAUGAGUAGAACCAUAGGCUUUCCCUUUGUGUUGUUCUCCACUAAUGAAACCUUAAAAAGUCAAAAAUCACCAAGGAAUUAUGGUAUAGAUGAAGGUUAAUGUGCGUGAAAGAUGUAUAUAUCAAGUGACUAUAAGACAUCCCUAGACACGAUUGUUUUAUCACCUUAUAUCUCUAUUUCUUUAAAAUUCUCCACCUUAUUCAAGUUCAUUUAUAUUCCUUGCUUCUCUUAAUCUCCAUCUUACUCCUUGACAAAUAAAUUUAGUGCAUUAUGUUAUUCAUUCACUUCUUUGCUUCUAUAAAGAGAUUUUCUAACCCUUAGCCAUCCAUGACCUCUCAUUUGUUUAAUUUUACUUCAUGUUAUAUGGGCUAGGCUUAUUUGUCUAUGUUUUCAUACACAUAUUUGUUUCAUGUAUCACAAGAUUAGAAAACCAAGAACACACCUUUCUUGACCGAUUCUAGCAUAUGUCAUAUUCCCCCAGACUUAGAAUUUGAAUCACCCAUUUGUCAUUAUCAUCUCUCUCUUCAUCCUUUUUUCUUUGUUCAUGAUUUAAAAAAGAUGUGAAGGGAGACCCCACAACUACCUCGAUAUAUCUUUUAUGCCAACCUCAA
This 9171-nucleotide long non-coding RNA is filed under the name Capsicum annuum. RNAcentral's name for it is "long non-coding RNA (CANN_LNC017358)". The record is from RNAcentral. Lineage: Eukaryota; Viridiplantae; Streptophyta; Magnoliopsida; Solanales; Solanaceae.